GUGGGGAAUCUUCCGCAAUGGACGAAAGUCUGACGGAGCAACGCCGCGUGAGUGAAGAAGGUUUUCGGAUCGUAAAGCUCUUUCGUUAGGGACGAACGUGCUCUUUGUGAAUAAUGAGGAGUAAUGACGGUACCUAAAUAAGAAGCCACGGCUAACUACGUGCCAGCAGCCGCGGUAAUACGUAGGUGGCAAGCGUUGUCCGGAAUUAUUGGGCGUAAAGCGCGCGCAGGCGGGAUAUCAAGUCUGUCUUAAAAGUGCGAGGCUCAACCUCGUGAGGGGACAGCAACUGGUAUUCUUGAGUGUCGGAGAGGAAAGUGGAAUUCCAAGUGUAGCGGUGAAAUGCGUAGAGAUUUGGAAGAACACCAGUGGCGAAGGCGACUUUCUGGACGAUGUCUGACGCUGAGGCGCGAAAGCUAGGGGAGCGAACGGGAUUAGAUACCCCGGUAGUCC
RNAcentral lists this ribosomal RNA (450 nucleotides) under uncultured bacterium. Its description in RNAcentral is "partial 16S ribosomal RNA". It matches the Rfam family "Bacterial small subunit ribosomal RNA", at positions 354 to 796 of the family's 1533-position model. The record is from RNAcentral.